Molecule: ribosomal RNA, 320 nt
Filed under: uncultured eukaryote
Lineage: Eukaryota
Description: partial 18S ribosomal RNA
Rfam family: Eukaryotic small subunit ribosomal RNA
Source: RNAcentral
CCCCUAGACGUUCUGGGCCGCACGCGCGCUACACUGAACAGUUCAACAAGUCUUAACCUUGGCCGAUAGGUCUGGGUAAUCUUUGAACGCUGUUCGUGAUUGGGAUAGACCUUUGCAAUUAUGGGUCUUCAACGAGGAAUUCCUAGUAAACGCAAGUCAUCAGCUUGCAUUGAUUACGUCCCUGCCCUUUGUACACACCGCCCGUCGCACCUACCGAUUGAAUGGUCCGGUGAAAUCUCGGGACGGCGGCUUGGUCGCUUGCGUCCGACUGCUGAAACUUGAUUAAACCAUAUCAUUUAGAGGAAGGUGAAGUCGUAACA